Molecule: ribosomal RNA, 433 nt
Filed under: uncultured bacterium
Lineage: Bacteria
Description: partial 16S ribosomal RNA
Rfam family: Bacterial small subunit ribosomal RNA
Source: RNAcentral
AACGAACGCUGGCGGCAUGCCUAACACAUGCAAGUCGAACGAGACCUUCGGGUCUAGUGGCGCACGGGUGCGUAACGCGUGGGAACCUGCCCUUAGGUUCGGAAUAACUCCCCGAAAGGGGUGCUAAUACCGGAUAAUGUCUUCGGACCAAAGAUUUAUCGCCUUUGGAUGGGCCCGCGUUGUAUUAGCUAGUUGGUAGGGUAAAAGCCUACCAAGGCGACGAUCCAUAGCUGGUCUGAGAGGAUGAUCAGCCACACUGGGACUGAGACACGGCCCAGACUCCUACGGGAGGCAGCAGUGGGGAAUAUUGGACAAUGGGCGAAAGCCUGAUCCAGCAAUGCCGCGUGAGUAAUGAAGGCCUUAGGGUUGUAAAGCUCUUUUACCCGGGAUGAUAAUGACAGUACCGGGAGAAUAAGCACCGGCUAACUCCGUG